This is a non-coding RNA of Paramuricea clavata, 219 nucleotides long. The record is from the annotation of a GenBank genome assembly. NCBI's taxonomy places the organism in Eukaryota, Metazoa, Cnidaria, Anthozoa, Malacalcyonacea, Plexauridae.
GCUCGAAACGUCAAAGUUCUCCUUGUAUUUUUCAGGUAGCUGUAUCCCUAUCCAACCGAACCUUUCGUACAUAAUUUCCCCCAGAAUUUUUAGUUGUUUUCAAUUCGAUUUCAGUGUAAAAUGUAUCAAAUUUUCGACGCGAAAUUCUAAAUACUUUAUUUAUAUUUUGCAACAUUGCCGAGCAUGCGUAGAACUCACGUUGGAAAUUCAACGUGAAUC